GCCCUGUGAUUUUUUUAACGGCCGCGGUAUCCUGACCGUGCGAAGGUAGCGUAAUCAUUUGUCCUUUAAUUGAAGACCCGUAUGAAUGGCAUCACGAGAGUUUAUCUGUCUCUAUUUUCUAAUCAAUGAAAUUGGCUUCCUCGUGCAGAGACGAGAAUAGUAACAUAAGACGAGAAGACCCUAUGGAGCUUUAAACACCUAAGUUAAUUAUUUUUCCAACAUCUCCUCCACGGAUAUAAAACAACAUAAAUAAAUAUAACUUAACUUGUUUUUGGUUGGGGCGACCAAGGGGAAAAACAAAACCCCCUUAUCGACUGAGUAUUCAAGGUACUUAAAAAUUAAAACGAACAAUUCUAAUUAAUAGAACAUCUAUCGAACAAUGACCCAGGAUAAACAUCCUGAUCAAUGAACCAAGUUACCCUAGGGAUAACAGCGCAAUCCUUUCUUAGAGUCCCUAUCGCCGAAAGGGUUUACGACCUCGAUGUUGGAUCAGGACAUCCUAAUGGUGUAGCCGCUAUUAAGGGUUCGUUUGUUCAACGAUUAACAGUCCUACGUGAUCUGAG
This 563-nucleotide ribosomal RNA is filed under the name Rhinobatos sp. GP0060. RNAcentral describes it as "partial 16S ribosomal RNA". It matches the Rfam family "Bacterial large subunit ribosomal RNA", at positions 1861 to 2609 of the family's 2925-position model. Lineage: Eukaryota; Metazoa; Chordata; Chondrichthyes; Rhinopristiformes; Rhinobatidae. The record is from RNAcentral.